RNAcentral lists this ribosomal RNA (497 nucleotides) under uncultured bacterium. RNAcentral describes it as "partial 16S ribosomal RNA". It matches the Rfam family "Bacterial small subunit ribosomal RNA", at positions 28 to 507 of the family's 1533-position model. The record is from RNAcentral.
GAUGAACGCUGGCGGCGUGCCUAAUACAUGCAAGUCGAGCGAACAGACGAGGAGCUUGCUCCUCUGACGUUAGCGGCGGACGGGUGAGUAACACGUGGAUAACCUACCUAUAAGACUGGGAUAACUUCGGGAAACCGGAGCUAAUACCGGAUAAUAUAUUGAACCGCAUGGUUCAAUAGUGAAAGACGGUUUUGCUGUCACUUAUAGAUGGAUCCGCGCCGCAUUAGCUAGUUGGUAGGGUAACGGCUUACCAAGGCAACGAUGCGUAGCCGACCUGAGAGGGUGAUCGGCCACACUGGAACUGAGACACGGUCCAGACUCCUACGGGAGGCAGCAGUAGGGAAUCUUCCGCAAUGGGCGAAAGCUUGACGGAUCAACGCCGCGUGAGUGAUGAAGGUCUUCGGAUCGUAAAACUCUGUUAUUAGGGAAGAACAAAUGUGUAAGUAACUAUGCACGUCUUGACGGUACCUAAUCAGAAAGCCACGGCUAACUACGUG